CUGCUGUUCAGUGCCAGCUCUGGACACCUCUGAGGCAGCAGCAGCAGCAGCAUGUUGCGAGCACUGGGGGUCAUGGUCCUCACCCGCUGCCUCCUCCUCUUUCUGGUGGCCCUGCAAGCCCAGGAUGCCCAGUCUGCUCCAAUGCAAGGGCAGGGAGCAGUGAAAGAUACCCAGAAGAUACCAGAGGAGCUCCUAAGAGCCUUGGAGAAAGCUGCAUCUGGUUAGUAUAUCCCACUCUCUUAACCGUAGGACUUGGGAUGCUGAACUUUUUGCUUACUCUGGGGAUCUGCUGUAGCCUAUGCAGCAAGAAGGGAUCAGUCAGAGCCUCACUGCAAGGACACUCCAUUUCACACCUUGC
This 358-nucleotide long non-coding RNA is filed under the name Manacus vitellinus (golden-collared manakin). Its description in RNAcentral is "lncRNA (ENSMVIG00005009703.1)". The record is from RNAcentral. Lineage: Eukaryota; Metazoa; Chordata; Aves; Passeriformes; Pipridae.